Long non-coding RNA from Amphimedon queenslandica, 802 nucleotides. RefSeq lists it as uncharacterized. The transcript has 5 exons. NCBI's taxonomy places the organism in Eukaryota, Metazoa, Porifera, Demospongiae, Haplosclerida, Niphatidae. The record is from RefSeq and is a predicted model, not a curated record.
UCUAGAAAAAUACCUGUUUAAAGCGUGAUAGCAGUACUGGCUUGAUUACUCCUGUGUCUAAAGGAGCUACUCCAUUUUGCUUCACCAGUUGCACAAAGCCCAUCCUUUCCUCCUUAAAGUUUACUCCUAUUGUUGCACUAAGUCCAAGUCAUCCUAAUUGCACCUAUAACUGGCAGUGUUUGAACAAUCCAGAGAAAGAGUAUCCAUCAACUCCCGUAAUAUAUAAUAAUGACCCUUUACUUUUCAAGUGCUGUGUCUGUUGAUGGACAUGUCAAAGAAACGGCUCAUUUUGAUGUUUCUUUUCAGCCUUUGACUGAUUAUUCUGAUGGUGACAUCACAGAAUCUAUUCAUUCUAAGCAAUUUUCAUCACGUCCUCGUUAUAAAAUUUUGUCUAUUCCACCUCCAACAUAAGAAAUAAUCUGAGCCACAGAUCACUUCAACAAAAGUAGAGAAAUUAAAAGGGUGGCUAUGGUAGGGUAUAUUUGGCAAAAGACUUGAGAUCCAUUGGUACAAAAGCAGCAGUGAAGGUUCUUUCAAAGGAGGGAUCAGAAGCCAUGGCUCGAGGAAGUUCAGAAUCACAACAAAUAGAGACUGAAUUGAAGGCAUUGAUGAAGUGCCAAGUUGUUAUAAUAAAUGGUUUUUUUUUAUUUUAGAUUUUGUCACCAAAACAUUUUAGAAAUUAUGGGGUACUGUUUUUAUUCUGAACUUAAAGCACUCGUGUCUAGGUACAUGGAGAAUGGGUCACUUUACUUAUGGAUUCACAAGGUUAAGUUAUGCUUAAUAAGUUGGAUAUAUGAAAAUA